RNAcentral lists this transfer RNA (75 nucleotides) under Chlamydia trachomatis. Its description in RNAcentral is "tRNA-Glu(ttc)". It matches the Rfam family "tRNA". From Rfam's summary of the family: Transfer RNA (tRNA) molecules are approximately 80 nucleotides in length. Their secondary structure includes four short double-helical elements and three loops (D, anti-codon, and T loops). The record is from RNAcentral. Lineage: Bacteria; Pseudomonadati; Chlamydiota; Chlamydiia; Chlamydiales; Chlamydiaceae. RNAcentral also lists the same sequence under 30 other names.
UGGUCCGUUGGUCAAGGGGUUAAGACACCGCCUUUUCACGGCGGUAACACGGGUUCGAAUCCCGUACGGACUAUC